UCAUACCAACAUGACAAUUCCUGAUCUCAUCUGAUCUCAGAUGCUAAGCAGGACCGAGCCUGGUUUGUGCUUAGACUGGAGACCACAAGGAAUACCAUGUG
RNAcentral lists this ribosomal RNA (101 nucleotides) under Periophthalmus magnuspinnatus. Lineage: Eukaryota; Metazoa; Chordata; Actinopteri; Gobiiformes; Gobiidae. The record is from RNAcentral.